Pelobates cultripes (western spadefoot toad) is the source of this 1091-nucleotide non-coding RNA. The record is from the annotation of a GenBank genome assembly. NCBI's taxonomy places the organism in Eukaryota, Metazoa, Chordata, Amphibia, Anura, Pelobatidae.
AUAAUUGGAUUAGAAUUAGUACAGUUACUGAUCCAAUAUCUCCCAGGAAGUGCUGAGGGAUUGUGUGUCAUGUGUGGGAGUGCCUUACAUUGUAAAUGUGUUAUUAUUGGUUUGUAAGUUUGUUGCCCUCGUCAUUCAGCAAGACCUAUCUUUUCUUGCCAACCGGGAGUGGGAACUAGAACAGGAUUAUGUUUGCCUAUUCCAACGGGUAACGCUGCCUGUCUCUGACAUGAUGGGGCUUACGGACUGUAUAACACCGAGACCGUUGAGUUUCGUCCCUCCUCCCCAGCAACUAAGCCUGUCAUCUGGAGACCUGGGCACUGUACCACCUACUUUCUAACCAGCCCCAGAGAUACUGGUCCUGGGGCUGGUUGGGAAGUAGGUGGUACAGUGGACAGGUGGAGAUGAGACUGAGGUCUCUCCAACUGCCCUACAGGGAUGAGGGCAGCUGGCCCAGAUCUCCAACCCCAGAUUGAGAUGUUAAGAGUGGGGACGGUCGGUCUCACUCCCCAGUGGCAGUGAGGUACAGGGAACAGAGACCCCGGUCUUGUUCCCCAACUGCAGUGUGUGUCCUAAGGAGAGAAAGAUUUCAUCCUUCCACUCCAGCGGCAGAGUGUGUUAUUGGGAGAGGAGAGUAUCGUCCUCCAUCUCCAGCGACAGAGUGAAUUACAGGGAGUGGAGAUGGUCGGUCUCAGUCCCCAGUGGCAGUGUGCAACUCAGGGAGAGGAGAGUAUCGUCCUCCAGCAUCCACGGGUGUUACAGGGAGUGGAGGCAACCGGUCCCACUCCCCAGCGGCUGUGUGUAUUCCAGAGAGAGAAUGGUGUCGCUCUUCCUCCUCGGUGGCAAAGGGUAUUAUUGGGAGAGGAGACGAUCGGUCUCUCUCCCCAGCGGCAGUGUGUUACAGGGAGUGGAGAUGGUCGGUCCCUCUCCCCAGCAGCUGGUCCUGUCGCCCAGAGACAGGCCCCCUAGCUUAGAUGGUGCAGAUGGGACAGAGGUCUCUGCACCAGCCCUAUAGGGAUGUUGGGCAGCCUACCCAGAUCCACAGCUGACCAUUCACAGUCAUGGCCCAGGUGCAGGAGACGGAACUACGG